AACAGCAUUUGGACGUGGGUGAGUCGGUCCUAAGAGAUGGGCGAAAGCCUGGUUAGUAAGGGUGCAGAUGUGCUGUCCUCUCCUCGGGACACGCAUGUCCUGGUUUGGUUCUUCACGGGACUGGCCAUAGGUGGCACCAGCUCUCGAAAGGGCAUCGGGUUAAUAUUCCCGAACCAGACACUUGGAUGCUGCCUGUGUGCCCGGCUGGCCUCUUCACGGGGGUCGGUUGCGGUGUGCAGGUGGAGCACGGCAACGUAUAUGUAUGUGUGUGAAUACUCGGCGACGCUUGCGAUAGCCCUGGGAAGAGUUGUCUUUUCUUCUUAACCGUACCAACCGUGUGCACAGCCCUGGAAGCAGUUUACCUUGAGAGAGGGCUGGAGGUCGGGCAAAGCGCUGCACUUAUUGCAGCGUCCAGUGCGCUGUCGAGAGCCCUUGAAAAGCUGAGUCAGGACUGGACCAUGUUAGUCUCGU
This 471-nucleotide ribosomal RNA is filed under the name Asconema fristedti. RNAcentral's name for it is "eukaryotic LSU rRNA". It matches the Rfam family "Eukaryotic large subunit ribosomal RNA", at positions 1516 to 1842 of the family's 3401-position model. The record is from RNAcentral. Lineage: Eukaryota; Metazoa; Porifera; Hexactinellida; Lyssacinosida; Rossellidae.